Coregonus clupeaformis (lake whitefish) is the source of this 695-nucleotide long non-coding RNA. RefSeq lists it as uncharacterized. NCBI's taxonomy places the organism in Eukaryota, Metazoa, Chordata, Actinopteri, Salmoniformes, Salmonidae. The transcript is spliced from 3 exons. The record is from RefSeq and is a predicted model, not a curated record.
UUUACAAUCAAUACAAUUUACCCAACAUUAAGGUUUUUAAACCUGAUCUUAAAUUAAUAGAUUAAGCCCUUUAUCUUAAUUGGGACAAAUCGAACGUAACUCCUGUUGUGUAUUGGAGAACAGAUAUGAGAAAACCUUUAGCCUAACUUUCUGAAUCCAGUCCAAUUUCUGACGAGGACGGCGUGUGGGGGUAACAUCUUGAAAAAGGUCUAAAAGCAGGUCAUGUGCGGUGAAGAAUGUCAUGGAAUUAGAGUGGCACUUGCACUAUGGUGACUUUCGCGGAAUCAAGUGCAAGAGCAACUCCUGAGGGUGUGGUUCAGUUGUGGAGAGGCCCAGAUGGUGAAAAAUAUUCACAGUGUAAAUGGAUUGAUGUGGCUGUCCCUCCUCUUCAUCCAGCAGUCCUGCUGUGUUGACUACUGUCUCCUGUAAACAUAUUUGUGUGUGUGUGUGUGUUAGCAUUUGUGUUGGGCUUGUAGUCUCAUCUUGUGUGUUUGACUGCUAGAGAGAGUACAAUUAAGAUCUGUAGAGAACCCAAUUAAGAUACAGUAUGUACUUCAUUCUUGAUAUAUGUACAGUACUUGUUCCCUAUUCCUGAUUACCAUUGCAGAAACAGAAAUAAACAAAUCAAUAAACAUGAUUAAAAUGUAUUUACUGCUUGAGAUAGUUAUUGUUGAAUUACAAUAAUCUAAACAUGA